This 551-nucleotide long non-coding RNA is filed under the name Carica papaya (papaya). Its description in RNAcentral is "long non-coding RNA (CPAP_LNC010479)". Lineage: Eukaryota; Viridiplantae; Streptophyta; Magnoliopsida; Brassicales; Caricaceae. The record is from RNAcentral.
CACCAAGUGGCAAAAUCUAGUGAAAAGAGAGGAGAAAAAGAUGCUUGACAUAAAAAAUGAGGGAGGAGGGUCUCCUCCACUAGUGGCAGCAAUGUGUUGCCUGAGCGAUAACGCCGCACUGCCUGAGGUGGCUGUGCCCUGGUCGACGCGCUGCAGGCUAGCCUACAAGCGCACAGGUCUUCUUUCGUGCGUGCAGGGGCUAGCUUGUGCACUGGGCACUGUGCGCAGGCCUAUUACAGGUAGGCCCCUAGUGCACAAGGCCUAUUCGCGCAGGCCUGCAGUGCAGACGGUUCGCACAAUGUGUGGCGCCUAUCCUCAUGCGAGGUGAUGCGCAGACGGCCCGCCUGCAUGCGACAAGAUGCCCACAGGUCCUGACCCCGCGCUAUGCGCACGGAUGCGACAUGCACGCUGUGCGUACGUCCCGCAACUGUUGUGCGCGCAUGCGUGUGUGCGCACAGUGCCCAGCACCCGCUCGGGCAAUCUACUUCCCUACAAGAUUUUUCUCGUAGGAUUUCUUCCCGUUUUGUUGUUUUUUUUAUUUCUCUCAAUUU